UGCAGUCGACGGCAGCACGGGUGCUUGCACCUGGUGGCGAGUGGCGAACGGGUGAGUAAUACAUCGGAACGUACCUUGUAGUGGGGGAUAGCUCGGCGAAAGCCGGAUUAAUACCGCAUACGCUCUGAGGAGGAAAGCGGGGGACCUUCGGGCCUCGCGCUACAAGAGCGGCCGAUGUCAGAUUAGCUAGUUGGUGGGGUAAAAGCUCACCAAGGCGACGAUCUGUAGCUGGUCUGAGAGGACGACCAGCCACACUGGGACUGAGACACGGCCCAGACUCCUACGGGAGGCAGCAGUGGGGAAUUUUGGACAAUGGGCGAAAGCCUGAUCCAGCAAUGCCGCGUGUGUGAAGAAGGCCUUCGGGUUGUAAAGCACUUUUGUCCGGAAAGAAAUCCUCUGGGUUAAUACCUCGGGGGGAUGACGGUACCGGAAGAAUAAGCACCGGCUAACUACGUGCCAGCAGCCGCGGUAAUACGUAGGGUGCAAGCGUUAAUCGGAAUUACUGGGCGUAAAGCGUGCGCAGGCGGUUUUGUAAGACGGAUGUGAAAUCCCCGGGCUUAACCUGGGAACUGCAUUCGUGACUGCAAGGCUAGAGUAUGGCAGAGGGGGGUAGAAUUCCACGUGUAGCGGU
This 631-nucleotide ribosomal RNA is filed under the name Pandoraea pnomenusa. RNAcentral describes it as "bacterial SSU rRNA". It matches the Rfam family "Bacterial small subunit ribosomal RNA", at positions 56 to 682 of the family's 1533-position model. Lineage: Bacteria; Pseudomonadati; Pseudomonadota; Betaproteobacteria; Burkholderiales; Burkholderiaceae. The record is from RNAcentral.